This 466-nucleotide ribosomal RNA is filed under the name uncultured bacterium. RNAcentral describes it as "partial 16S ribosomal RNA". It matches the Rfam family "Bacterial small subunit ribosomal RNA", at positions 28 to 507 of the family's 1533-position model. The record is from RNAcentral.
GAUGAACGCUGGCGGCGUGCUUAACACAUGCAAGUCGAACGGAAAGGCCCAAGCUUGCUUGGGUUCUCGAGUGGCGAACGGGUGAGUAACACGUGGGUGAUCUGCCCUGCACUUCGGGAUAAGCCUGGGAAACUGGGUCUAAUACCGGAUAGGACCACAUGUUGGAGGGUGUGGUUGGAAGUUUUUCGGGGUGGGUUGAGCUCGCGGCCUAUCAGCUUGUUGUGGGGGUAAUGGCCUACCAAGGCGUCGGCGGGUAGACGGCCAGUGGGGCUGUGCGGCCAUCUUGGGUCUGAGAUACGGCCCAGACUCCGACGAUUGGCAGAUGUGGGGAAUAUUGAACAAUGGGUGCAGGCCGUAUGCAGAAGCGCCGCGUGGGGGAUAACGGCCUUAGGGUUGAAGAAUCCCAUCGCGAGGGACGAAGCGUUAUGUGACGGUACCUGGAGAAGAAGCACCGGCUAACUACGUG